CUUCAAGAGCUCCUAUCGACAAGUNGGUUUACGACCUCGAUGUUGGAUCAGGGUAUCCCAGUGGUGCAGCCGCUACUAAAGGUUCGUUUGUUCAACGAUUAAAACCCUACGUGAUCUGAGUUCAGACCGGAGUAAUCCAGGUCAGUUUCUAUCUAUAAAAGAGUUUUUUCUAGUACGAAAGGACCGAAAAAACAUGGCCCAUACUUAAUGCAAGCCAUAAUUAUUAACUUAUGACCAAAUCUUAAUAAGUACCUAAUUCACCGCCUAACUCAAAAAAAGAGUA
This 283-nucleotide ribosomal RNA is filed under the name Osteocephalus verruciger (Ecuador slender-legged treefrog). Its description in RNAcentral is "partial large subunit ribosomal RNA". It matches the Rfam family "Archaeal large subunit ribosomal RNA", at positions 2559 to 2907 of the family's 2987-position model. The record is from RNAcentral. Lineage: Eukaryota; Metazoa; Chordata; Amphibia; Anura; Hylidae.